Molecule: ribosomal RNA, 254 nt
Filed under: uncultured Eubacteriales bacterium
Lineage: Bacteria; Bacillati; Bacillota; Clostridia; Eubacteriales
Description: uncultured Clostridiales bacterium partial 16S ribosomal RNA
Rfam family: Bacterial small subunit ribosomal RNA
Source: RNAcentral
UACGUAGGGGGCGAGCGUUGUCCGGAAUGACUGGGCGUAAAGGGUGUGUAGGCGGUUUAUUAAGUUAGAAGUGAAAUACCUAGGGCUUAACCCAGGUGCUGCUUCUAAAACUGAUAGACUUGAGUGCAGUAGAGGAAAGUGGAAUUCCUAGUGUAGCGGUGGAAUGCGUAGAUAUUAGGAGGAACACCAGUGGCGAAGGCGAUUUGCUGGGCCAUCACUGACGCUGAGGUACGAAAGCGUGGGGAGCAAAUAGG